Molecule: unclassified non-coding RNA, 143 nt
Filed under: uncultured Nectria
Lineage: Eukaryota; Fungi; Ascomycota; Sordariomycetes; Hypocreales; Nectriaceae
Description: sequence contains ITS1
Source: RNAcentral
CCGAGUUAUACAACUCAUCAACCCUGUGAACAUACCUAAACGUUGCCUCGGCGGGAACAGACGGCCUCCGGGCCGCCCCCGCCAGAGGACCCCCUAUCUCUGUUUUUAUUAGUGUAUCUCUGAGUAACCAAGCAAAUAAAUUA